This 838-nucleotide long non-coding RNA is filed under the name Marmota monax (woodchuck). The record is from RNAcentral. Lineage: Eukaryota; Metazoa; Chordata; Mammalia; Rodentia; Sciuridae.
GGGAGCUUGAGGUCCCUGAGAUGAUCUGCACGGUCCAGGGGCCUCUAGGAGGAGGAGCCAGGCACAUCCCUGGGCUGUGGCAGGUCCUGAAAGGACCCCUCCGUACCCUACUCCCCCCAGCCCUGUCCAGAUGCCUCUCCUCAGCCAGCACCCAAAGAAGGCGGUGGCUAUUUAAAUCCCUCAGGUGUGGCUGCGGUUCUUUCUGCCCAACCAGCUGGCAUCUCCCUCUCAGCGCCCACCUCCUCCAUGAGCCAGGGAAAAGCACGUGCAUUUGCCAUUUGGUGAAACAUCUGUCCUCCCGGGAAGGGGCUCCAACCCACAGUUGGAGACUGGAGUCCUCCCCUUCCCUUUAUUUCUCUCCGGAGACCACAGGGAACUGGCCGAGGCUGGGGAGGUCUGAAGUGCCACCAUCACAGUAGUGGAGGGGAAAGAAUCAGGCUGGUGGCCCUAGGGUGCAGCUGAGGCUUUGAACCUGCCAGGUCCCCUCUCUGGGUCUCAACUUUCCUAUCUGUUAAUGGGGAUAAUGAGAACAGAGGCGCUGCUGACUGGGUAUUCGGCGCCCCUUGUACCAGGUCUCUGCAAUCCCCCUCUGAAAUUGAUAGCUGCGUUCUGAUCUGACAAGAUGAGGACAGCGAGGCUCAACUUUGCUGCUUGUUCCCCCAAAUUACAUUAGCCUCCUCCCCAAAGUUCUCCUGCUUAGUACUCGGCCCUGCUUUUUUCCCACUCACCCCAUCUCCGAGCGGGCACAUUUUCAAAGCUCCCCAAGGAGAAAGGAGAAAUUCUGUACUCACUUAAAACACACGCUCUAGCCCACACCAGGCCACCUCCAUUCACUCCU